RNAcentral lists this ribosomal RNA (202 nucleotides) under uncultured bacterium. Its description in RNAcentral is "partial 16S ribosomal RNA". It matches the Rfam family "Bacterial small subunit ribosomal RNA", at positions 524 to 727 of the family's 1533-position model. The record is from RNAcentral.
UACGUAGGGUGCAAGCGUUAUCCGGAAUUAUUGGGCGUAAAGAGCUCGUAGGCGGUCUGUCGCGUCUGCUGUGAAAUCUGGGGGCUCAACCCCCCAGCCUGCAGUGGGUACGGGCAGUCUAGAGUGCGGAGGGGAGAUGAGAUCCUGGUGUAGCGGUGGAAUGCGCAGAUAUCAGGAAGAACACCGGUAGCGAAGGCGGAUC